RNAcentral lists this ribosomal RNA (497 nucleotides) under uncultured bacterium. RNAcentral's name for it is "partial 16S ribosomal RNA". It matches the Rfam family "Bacterial small subunit ribosomal RNA", at positions 28 to 507 of the family's 1533-position model. The record is from RNAcentral.
GAUGAACGCUGGCGGCGUGCCUAAUACAUGCAAGUCGAGCGAACAGACGAGGAGCUUGCUCCUCUGACGUUAGUGGCGGACGGGUGAGUAACACGUGGAUAACCUACCUAUAAGACUGGGAUAACUUAGGGAAACCGGAGCUAAUACCGGAUAAUAUAUUGAACCGCAUGGUUCAAUAGUGAAAGACGGUUUUGCUGUCACUUAUAGAUGGAUCCGCGCCGCAUUAGCUAGUUGGUAAGGUAACGGCUUACCAAGGCAACGAUGCGUAGCCGACCUGAGAGGGUGAUCGGCCACACUGGAACUGAGACACGGUCCAGACUCCUACGGGAGGCAGCAGUAGGGAAUCUUCCGCAAUGGGCGAAAGCCUGACGGAGCAACGCCGCGUGAGUGAUGAAGGUCUUCGGAUCGUAAAACUCUGUUAUUAGGGAAGAACAAAUGUGUAAGUAACUAUGCACGUCUUGACGGUACCUAAUCAGAAAGCCACGGCUAACUACGUG